UACGAAGGGUGCAAGCGUUACUCGGAAUUACUGGGCGUAAAGCGUGCGUAGGCGGUCUGUUAAGUCUGAUGUGAAAGCCCUGGGCUCAACCUGGGAAUUGCAUUGGAUACUGGCAGGCUAGAGUGCGGUAGAGGGUAGUGGAAUUCCCGGUGUAGCAGUGAAAUGCGUAGAGAUCGGGAGGAACACCAGUGGCGAAGGCGACUACCUGGACCAGCACUGACACUGAGGCACGAAAGCGUGGGGAGCAAACAGG
Molecule: ribosomal RNA, 253 nt
Filed under: uncultured bacterium
Lineage: Bacteria
Description: partial 16S ribosomal RNA
Rfam family: Bacterial small subunit ribosomal RNA
Source: RNAcentral